Molecule: ribosomal RNA, 723 nt
Filed under: uncultured Delftia sp.
Lineage: Bacteria; Pseudomonadati; Pseudomonadota; Betaproteobacteria; Burkholderiales; Comamonadaceae
Description: bacterial SSU rRNA
Rfam family: Bacterial small subunit ribosomal RNA
Source: RNAcentral
AUGGCUCAGAUUGAACGCUGGCGGCAUGCCUUACACAUGCAAGUCGAACGGUAACAGGUCUUCGGACGCUGACGAGUGGCGAACGGGUGAGUAAUACAUCGGAACGUGCCCAGUCGUGGGGGAUAACUACUCGAAAGAGUAGCUAAUACCGCAUACGAUCUGAGGAUGAAAGCGGGGGACCUUCGGGCCUCGCGCGAUUGGAGCGGCCGAUGGCAGAUUAGGUAGUUGGUGGGAUAAAAGCUUACCAAGCCGACGAUCUGUAGCUGGUCUGAGAGGACGACCAGCCACACUGGGACUGAGACACGGCCCAGACUCCUACGGGAGGCAGCAGUGGGGAAUUUUGGACAAUGGGCGAAAGCCUGAUCCAGCAAUGCCGCGUGCAGGAUGAAGGCCUUCGGGUUGUAAACUGCUUUUGUACGGAACGAAAAAGCUUCUCCUAAUACGAGAGGCCCAUGACGGUACCGUAAGAAUAAGCACCGGCUAACUACGUGCCAGCAGCCGCGGUAAUACGUAGGGUGCGAGCGUUAAUCGGAAUUACUGGGCGUAAAGCGUGCGCAGGCGGUUAUGUAAGACAGAUGUGAAAUCCCCGGGCUCAACCUGGGAACUGCAUUUGUGACUGCAUGGCUAGAGUACGGUAGAGGGGGAUGGAAUUCCGCGUGUAGCAGUGAAAUGCGUAGAUAUGCGGAGGAACACCGAUGGCGAAGGCAAUCCCCUGGACCUGUA